GAUCUUGGUUCAGGAUGAACGCUAGCUACAGGCUUAACACAUGCAAGUCGAGGGGCAGCAUAACGAAAGCUUGCUUUGUUGAUGGCGACCGGCGCACGGGUGAGUAACGCGUAUCCAACCUUCCCCUUAGUAGGGCAUAGCCCGGCGAAAGUCGGAUUAAUACCCUAUGUUUUCCGUUGAGGACAUCUGAAGUGGAUUAAAGAUUUAUCGCUAAGGGAUGGGGAUGCGUCUGAUUAGGUUGUUGGCGGGGUAACGGCCCACCAAGCCAUCGAUCAGUAGGGGUUCUGAGAGGAAGGUCCCCCACAUUGGUACUGAGACACGGACCAAACUCCUACGGGAGGCAGCAGUGAGGAAUAUUGGUCAAUGGGCGAGAGCCUGAACCAGCCAAGUAGCGUGCAGGAUGACGGCCCUAUGGGUUGUAAACUGCUUUUGCAUGGGAAUAAAGUCGGGGACGUGUCCCCGUUUGUAUGUACCAUGAGAAUAAGGACCGGCUAAUUCCGUGCCAGCAGCUGC
RNAcentral lists this ribosomal RNA (513 nucleotides) under uncultured bacterium. RNAcentral describes it as "bacterial SSU rRNA". It matches the Rfam family "Bacterial small subunit ribosomal RNA", at positions 15 to 518 of the family's 1533-position model. The record is from RNAcentral.